GGCAAGUUGCCCUUGGCUACA
RNAcentral lists this microRNA (21 nucleotides) under Citrus sinensis (sweet orange). RNAcentral's name for it is "csi-miR169n-3p". Its record names the gene csi-miR169n-3p. The record is from miRBase by way of RNAcentral. Lineage: Eukaryota; Viridiplantae; Streptophyta; Magnoliopsida; Sapindales; Rutaceae.